AUGGAGGGCCCGCACCCGCUGCCGGAGCCGGAGGCGGGGACGGGGACGGAGGAGCCGGUGACCGGCCGGCGGUGCGGCCGCCACCCGGACCAGCCCCUCAACGGCGUCUGCUCCGCCUGCCUCGUCGAGCGCCUCUCCUCCGUCCGCAGCCCCGAGAUCGUCGAGGUCGCCUCCUCCUCCUCCCGCGACCCCGACGCCCGCUCCCUCCCCGUCCCCGUCCCCGCCUCCGGCGACCAAGAAGAUCAGGGCAAGCUGCGGAGGACGCUCAUGCUGCUCUUCCAGAUGGACGACUCCGGCGCCGCCGCCGACCGCCCGGGCGCCAACCGUCCGCCCGACGCCAAAGAUCCCGGAGCGUCAGAGGCGGACCACCCCGGAGGCGGCGGCAGGAAGUGGAUGGGCGCCUCCUGGCUCAGGGCGAUCCUGCCCAGGCGGGGGGCGCGGCGGCGCGGGACCAAGGAGGAGGAGGAGGAGCCCUCGCGCCCGUCUGGGGCGGUGGAUCCCCAUCCUGGCGAUGCCAGCGGCGGGCCGUCGCCGCCGCUGGUGGAGCGGAGGGCCAGCUUCCGCCGCUCCUGCGAGUGGAUGAUCUGCCGGGAGCCGCCCAGAGGCUCCUCCCUGGACCCGCCCCGCCACUCCUGGGACGGCUCCAUGGUGGGCAGGGCCUUCGCCUGCUCCUUCGCGUGCCUAGACGAGCCGUCUGAUGGCGUCACCAGGGUCAGGCAGGGCAAUGCAGAGGAAUCGGCGAGGGAGCGCCCUGCUGCCGAGGUUGCAGCAGAGAGCAGGAAUGGGGGGCAUUCUGCCGAUGUGGGCGGCGAGGGGCCGAGGUUCAGAGGAAGGAGGAGUUGCAGUGACGCCGGCCCGGAGAUAACUGUGGCGGCCUCAGGUGUCCGGCGCCGGAGGUCCAACAGGUGGAGCAGGGUGUGGGAUCGCAGCAUCACGAGUCCACUAAAAGAAUUCGUGAGGAAGGGGGAGCAUGCUCUUGACCGGUCCUUCUCGGAGUCGAGGAGGGAAACCCGGAGGUGUAAAAAUGGGGAGAUGACAGACAUCGAAAAUGGCGAAAUUCAGCAUGGCCGCAACGGGUCGGUACUUCCAGGCAGAGCAAGCCAGGGCUCAAGCAGAAGCUCCCAAGCUGCCGUGGCUAACGGGGACGCGCAGAAUUUCCGCGUGGAUUGGCUUAAGAACAAGGAAUGCAGGAUCGGCAGGAGCAGGAGCGUCCAUUACACCUCUCCUGGGAACUUUGAUAAUGGCAUGCUGCGGUUUUACCUGACGCCGAUGAGGAGCAACAGAGCCGCAAACAGGGGGAGGAGGAGAAGCUCGCGCUUGUUUGGAAGAGGGCUUUUUGGUUUCGUUUGA
This 1350-nucleotide ribosomal RNA is filed under the name Triticum aestivum (bread wheat). RNAcentral's name for it is "partial small subunit ribosomal RNA". The record is from RNAcentral. Lineage: Eukaryota; Viridiplantae; Streptophyta; Magnoliopsida; Poales; Poaceae.